Molecule: ribosomal RNA, 253 nt
Filed under: uncultured bacterium
Lineage: Bacteria
Description: partial 16S ribosomal RNA
Rfam family: Bacterial small subunit ribosomal RNA
Source: RNAcentral
UACGUAGGGGGCAAGCGUUGUCCGGAAUUACUGGGCGUAAAGCGUGCGCAGGCGGUUGUGUAAGACAGAUGUGAAAUCCCCGGGCUCAACCUGGGAACUGCAUUUGUGACUGCACAGCUGGAGUGCGGCAGAGGGGGAUGGAAUUCCGCGUGUAGCAGUGAAAUGCGUAGAUAUGCGGAGGAACACCGAUGGCGAAGGCAAUCCCCUGGGCCUGCACUGACGCUCAUGCACGAAAGCGUGGGGAGCAAACAGG